GCCUUGGUGGUGUAAUGGCUGCACGGAGGACUGUGGAUCCUCUAGACCGGGUCCGAUUCCCGGCCAAGGCC
Molecule: transfer RNA, 71 nt
Filed under: Microcaldota archaeon
Lineage: Archaea; Nanobdellati; Microcaldota
Description: tRNA-His
Rfam family: tRNA
About the family: Transfer RNA (tRNA) molecules are approximately 80 nucleotides in length.
Source: RNAcentral